GUGAGGUGGGAAGUCCUUGAGCUUUAUCUUUAUCAUUCUGCAUUGAUAGCUACCUCUAACAGAUUUAUUUGCAUCCAUUCAAGAGUUAUGACCAUGUUGCUUUAAAGUUAAGUAACACACAAAGAGAUAACAACUCUUUCACUUAAUUUGAAGCUUCGCGUUGACUACUAACCUCCCUUUAGAUACAGUUUUAACCCUAAUUUGCUUAGAAAGGCCUUGGGAUUUCCUUGUUGAACACUUUUGUGUGAACAUGCUAAGUUACUCAGUUAAGCUCGUGUUCCGUGCAAAAUCGCUCGUAUAUGAAAUAGGAGCUUUUCGCUCGGGCCUCGUUGCACUCGCUCGUCCGGUGCGAGUAUUUUAUC
This is a long non-coding RNA of Zophobas morio, 362 nucleotides long. RefSeq lists it as uncharacterized. The transcript has 3 exons. Lineage: Eukaryota; Metazoa; Arthropoda; Insecta; Coleoptera; Tenebrionidae. The record is from RefSeq and is a predicted model, not a curated record.